Molecule: ribosomal RNA, 440 nt
Filed under: uncultured bacterium
Lineage: Bacteria
Description: partial 16S ribosomal RNA
Rfam family: Bacterial small subunit ribosomal RNA
Source: RNAcentral
CCUACGGGAGGCAGCAGUGGGGAAUAUUGCACAAUGGGGGAAACCCUGAUGCAGCGACGCCGCGUGAGUGAAGAAGUAAUUCGUUAUGUAAAGCUCUAUCAGCAGGGAAGAAAAUGACGGUACCUGAGUAAGAAGCCCCGGCUAACUACGUGCCAGCAGCCGCGGUAAUACGUAGGGGGCAAGCGUUAUCCGGAUUUACUGGGUGGAAAGGGAGCGUAGACGGCAGUGCAAGUCUGGAGUGAAAGGCGGGGGCUUAACCCCCGGACUGCUCUGGAAACUGUACGGCUGGAGUGCAGGAGAGGUAAGUGGAAUUCCUAGUGUAGCGGUGAAAUGCGUAGAUAUUAGGAGGAACACCAGUGGCGAAGGCGGCUUACUGGACUGUAACUGACGUUGAGGCUCGAAAGCGUGGGGAGCAAACAGGAUUAGAUACCCUUGUAGUC